RNAcentral lists this unclassified non-coding RNA (808 nucleotides) under Hevea brasiliensis (rubber tree). The record is from RNAcentral. Lineage: Eukaryota; Viridiplantae; Streptophyta; Magnoliopsida; Malpighiales; Euphorbiaceae.
CAGCUGUUAGGCAAGUUAAGUUGAACAAGAUUCUCUGCUUGAAAAUUGGGCGUCAGAGAGCUCAGAGGAUAUCUAUCCCAAUGAAGAUACCUCAACUUAUCAGAAAGAAACUUAAGGCCAUCAGGCAGAUGCACUUUGCACUUUACACUUAUUUCCAACUAUAGAAUUAUGGAUUUUGAGUAGUCUAAGAUUAUACAUCCUCUUGAAGGCUUUGGAACUCAAGUACAUUUCUCCAAUUUUAGCUGUGUCUAAGAAUAUUCCCUCAACUUUGUCAGAUCCCAGAUUUUUGGUCAACACUUGACAAACAUCAGUAGGACACCACAAUCUACUGCGCUUGCCCAACUCUUUAACAGAUUCUUGGCGAACAAUUUCAUGAGCCAAUUCUUGCAGCAACUUAUGCAUCUCCAACUUGUUUCCUAGGAUGGUAAUAAGGCAUUUAUCAACAAGAACGCUAAUUCCAAUGCCUGCUGAGAAACCACAACCAUUUAGUAUUCUCUUUACGAAGUCAAUUUGUUGCCCCUUGAAAAAACAUGCAAUAUCAAGAAAUAUAUUUUUCUCUUCGUCAUCUAGCGCAUCAAAACUUAUUCUCAACAUAUGAAAAAUUUUACGCUGAGGAAUUCUUCCAAGUUUAUCCAAUGCGCUUUCCCAAUCUUCUCUCCUUCUGUCAAACAGGAAGGAACCCAAAACUUUAAGUGCCAAGGGGUUUCCUUGAGCAUAGUUCACCACCCUAGUUGAUAGCUCCAAUCUAUCAGAAGUGGGAUAAUUUUUCUUAAAAGCAUUCAAACUGAACAAUUGAAGAGCUUCAUCA